This 756-nucleotide ribosomal RNA is filed under the name uncultured bacterium. RNAcentral describes it as "bacterial SSU rRNA". It matches the Rfam family "Bacterial small subunit ribosomal RNA", at positions 8 to 796 of the family's 1533-position model. The record is from RNAcentral.
AGAGUUUGAUCAUGGCUCAGAAUCAACGCUGGCGGCGCGCUUAACACAUGCAAGUCGCACGAGAAAGUGGAGCAAUCCAUGAGUACAGUGGCGUACGGGUGAGUAACACGUGGAUCAUCUACCUUUUAGUGGGGAAUACCCCCGGGAAACUGGGGAUAAUACCGCAUAAUCUCGUGAGAGGAAAGCAGCAAUGCGCUGAAAGAGGAGUCCGCGGCUGAUUAGCUAGUUGGUGAGGUAAUGGCUCACCAAGGCGAAGAUCGGUAGCCGGCCUGAGAGGGCACACGGCCACACUGGCACUGAAACACGGGCCAGACUCCUACGGGAGGCAGCAGUGGGGAAUCUUGCACAAUGGAGGAAACUCUGAUGCAGCGACGCCGCGUGAGUGAUGAAGCCCUUCGGGGUGUAAAGCUCUUUCGACGGGAACGAUAAUGACGGUACCCGAAGAAGAAGCUGCGGCUAACUACGUGCCAGCAGCCGCGGUAAUACGUAGGCAGCAAGCGUUGUUCGGAAUUACUGGGCGUAAAGAGUGUGUAGGCGGUGCUCUAAGUCUGUUGUGAAAUCUCCCGGCUUAACCGGGAGGGUGCGGCGGAAACUGGAGUGCUUGAGGGUGGGAGAGGUAAGCGGAAUUCCUGGUGUAGCGGUGAAAUGCGUAGAUAUCAGGAGGAACACCUGUGGUGUAGACAGCUUACUGGACCACUUCUGACGCUGAGACACGAAAGCGUGGGUAGCAAACAGGAUUAGAUACCCUAGUAGUCC